Molecule: ribosomal RNA, 309 nt
Filed under: uncultured bacterium
Lineage: Bacteria
Description: bacterial SSU rRNA
Rfam family: Bacterial small subunit ribosomal RNA
Source: RNAcentral
AUUGAACGCUGGCGGCAGGCCUAACACAUGCAAGUCGAACGGUAACAGGAAACAGCUUGCUGUUUCGCUGACGAGUGGCGGACGGGUGAGUAAUGUCUGGGAAACUGCCUGAUGGAGGGGGAUAACUACUGGAAACGGUAGCUAAUACCGCAUAACGUCGCAAGACCAAAGAGGGGGACCUUCGGGCCUCUUGCCAUCGGAUGUGCCCAGAUGGGAUUAGCUAGUAGGUGGGGUAACGGCUCACCUAGGCGACGAUCCCUAGCUGGUCUGAGAGGAUGACCAGCCACACUGGACUGAGACACGGUCCAG